AGGGAUGUGGCUCAGUGGUAGAGAGCUUGUUUGGCAUGCAAGAAACCCAGGGUUUGAUUCCUAGCACUG
Ictidomys tridecemlineatus (thirteen-lined ground squirrel) is the source of this 69-nucleotide non-coding RNA. Lineage: Eukaryota; Metazoa; Chordata; Mammalia; Rodentia; Sciuridae. The record is from Rfam.